RNAcentral lists this ribosomal RNA (306 nucleotides) under Triticum aestivum (bread wheat). RNAcentral's name for it is "partial small subunit ribosomal RNA". Lineage: Eukaryota; Viridiplantae; Streptophyta; Magnoliopsida; Poales; Poaceae. The record is from RNAcentral.
AUGGUGAAACUUUUUAUCACUACCGUCGCACAUAAAAUAAAUCCAUGUAUGCAGACCUCAUCAAUGAUGGCAACCUUUUCAUCACACACACACACACACAGAUAUAUAUGGAAAAUGGAAGUCCCAUUGAAAAUAAAAAUCUUCAUGUUGUACUUGGAUCGCAAGGUCAUCCUGACAAAAGAUAAUAUGAAAAAAGAGAUCGACAAGGAUGCACUAAGUGUUGCUUUUGUGGCGAUGAGGAGUCGAUUCGGCAUCUAUUCCUUCAAUGCCCACUUGCCAAGCUACUAUGCCAAACGGUCCAUAUAG